CGGGUUGUGGCUCCGUGGUAGAGCACUUGCUUGGCAUGUGUGAAGCACUGGGUUUGAUUCCCAGCACCACGU
This 72-nucleotide transfer RNA is filed under the name Marmota monax (woodchuck). It matches the Rfam family "tRNA". Rfam says of the family: Transfer RNA (tRNA) molecules are approximately 80 nucleotides in length. The record is from Rfam by way of RNAcentral. Lineage: Eukaryota; Metazoa; Chordata; Mammalia; Rodentia; Sciuridae.